This 486-nucleotide ribosomal RNA is filed under the name uncultured bacterium. RNAcentral's name for it is "partial 16S ribosomal RNA". It matches the Rfam family "Bacterial small subunit ribosomal RNA", at positions 30 to 507 of the family's 1533-position model. The record is from RNAcentral.
AUUGAACGCUGGCGGCAUGCCUUACACAUGCAAGUCGAACGGCAGCACGGGUGCUUGCACCUGGUGGCGAGUGGCGAACGGGUGAGUAAUACAUCGGAACAUGUCCUGUAGUGGGGGAUAGCCCGGCGAAAGCCGGAUUAAUACCGCAUACGAUCCACGGAUGAAAGCGGGGGACCUUCGGGCCUCGCGCUAUAGGGUUGGCCGAUGGCUGAUUAGCUAGUUGGUGGGGUAAAGGCCUACCAAGGCGACGAUCAGUAGCUGGUCUGAGAGGACGACCAGCCACACUGGGACUGAGACACGGCCCAGACUCCUACGGGAGGCAGCAGUGGGGAAUUUUGGACAAUGGGCGAAAGCCUGAUCCAGCAAUGCCGCGUGUGUGAAGAAGGCCUUCGUGUUGUAAAGCACUUUUGUCCGGAAAGAAAUCCUUGACUCUAAUACAGUCGGGGGAUGACGGUACCGGAAGAAUAAGCACCGGCUAACUACGUG